UCCCUGUUGGCUCAGAAGGUGAAGAAUCUGCCUGCAAUGCAGGAGACCUGGGUUCGAUCCCUGGGUUGGGAA
This is a non-coding RNA of Bos taurus (domestic cattle), 72 nucleotides long. The record is from Rfam. Lineage: Eukaryota; Metazoa; Chordata; Mammalia; Artiodactyla; Bovidae.